CAUGCCGUAAACGAUGAGUGCUAAGUGUUAGGGGGUUUCCGCCCCUUAGUGCUGCAGCUAACGCAUUAAGCACUCCGCCUGGGGAGUACGACCGCAAGGUUGAAACUCAAAGGAAUUGACGGGGGCCCGCACAAGCGGUGGAGCAUGUGGUUUAAUUCGAAGCAACGCGAAGAACCUUACCAGGUCUUGACAUCCCAGUGACCACUCUAGAGAUAGAGUUUUCCCUUCGGGGACAUUGGUGACAGGUGG
RNAcentral lists this ribosomal RNA (249 nucleotides) under uncultured bacterium. Its description in RNAcentral is "partial 16S ribosomal RNA". It matches the Rfam family "Bacterial small subunit ribosomal RNA", at positions 796 to 1041 of the family's 1533-position model. The record is from RNAcentral. RNAcentral also lists the same sequence under 1 other name.